Paramuricea clavata is the source of this 231-nucleotide non-coding RNA. The record is from the annotation of a GenBank genome assembly. Lineage: Eukaryota; Metazoa; Cnidaria; Anthozoa; Malacalcyonacea; Plexauridae.
UAAACAGAUUGUCCUAAUAUCUAACUUUACCUGCAACGCACACCUGUUUCAUUGCUGUUAAUUUUUCAAUCCACACUGGGGGGGGGGGGGGUCAGAAAAGUUUCUACUUUUAUGAGGGGGGAGGCACAAAAAGUUUGCCUUCAGUCUGGAGGGGGGGGUCAAAAAAGUUUUCAAUCCUUAUUUUCCCCAUUUCCCAACCCCCCCUCCCCAUAAAUAAUGACCACUCCUUAA